AUGGGAUAGUCUGCCCCUGACUUCAACGCCACCGCCGUGGUGGAUGGUACUUUCAAAGAAGUGAAGCUGUCGGACUGCAAAGAGAAGUACGUAGUCCUCUUUUUCUACCCUCUGCACUUCACUUUUGUGUGGCCCAUGGAGAUCAUCGCGUUCAGCGACCAUGCCGAGGACUUCUGCAAGCUGGGCUGCGAAGUGCUGGGCAUCUCAGUGGACUCUCAGUUCACCCACCUGGCUUGGAUCAACAACCCCCAGAGGGAGGGAGACUUGGGCCCCCUGAACAUCCCCCUGCUUGCUAAAGUGACCAGAGGCUUGUCUGAGGAUUAUGCCGUGCUGAAAACAGAUGCGGGCAUUGCCUACGGGGCCGCUUUAUCAGUGAUGGCAGGGGUGUCCUUCCCAGAUCACUGUUAAUGAUUUGCCUGUGGGACGCUCCGUGUUUGAGGCUCUGCAGCUGGUCCAGGCCUUCCAGUACACAGAAGAGCAUGCGGAAGUUUGUCCUGCUGUCUGGAAGCCUGGCAGUGACACGAUUAAGCCCAACGUGGAUAACAGCAAGGAAUAUUUCUCCAAACACAAUUAGGCUGGCUGAGGGAUAGUGAGCUUGUGCCCUUACCUAGGUGCCUGUGCUGGCUGCCCACCAGUGCUGUCACCUGGGUGCCCUGUGCUGACCCAGGAAAGGCCUGAUCUGCCCCUCCAAAGUCCACAGUCUGGGACCCUGGAAGGCUAGGCCAAGGCCUUCUCAGGC
RNA transcript from Piliocolobus tephrosceles (Ugandan red Colobus), 739 nucleotides. It is a transcript of the gene named peroxiredoxin-2 pseudogene, with no coding region annotated. The record is from RefSeq and is a predicted model, not a curated record. Lineage: Eukaryota; Metazoa; Chordata; Mammalia; Primates; Cercopithecidae. The transcript has a single exon.